CCCAAUGGCCCGGUGCUUUACACAUGCAAGUCGAGCGGAAUCUUAGGAUUUAGUGGCGGACGGGUGAGUAACGCGUGAGAAUCUAGCUCUAGGUCGGGGACAACCACUGGAAACGGUGGCUAAUACCGGAUGAGCCGAAAGGUAAAAGAUUAAUUGCCUAGAGAUGAGCUCGCGUCUGAUUAGCUAGUUGGUGUGGUAAGAGCGCACCAAGGCGACGAUCAGUAGCUGGUCUGAGAGGAUGAUCAGCCACACUGGGACUGAGACACGGCCCAGACUCCUACGGGAGGCAGCAGUGGGGAAUUUUCCGCAAUGGGCGAAAGCCUGACGGAGCAAUACCGCGUGAGGGAGGAAGGCUCUUGGGUUGUAAACCUCUUUUCUCAAGGAAUAAGAAAGUGAAGGUACUUGAGGAAUAAGCAUCGGCUAACUCCGUGCCAGCAGCCGCGGUAAUACGGAGGAUGCAAGCGUUAUCCGGAAUGAUUGGGCGUAAAGGGUCCGCAGGUGGCCCUGUAAGUCUGCUGUUAAAGAGUGAGGCUCAACCUCAUAAAAGCAGUGGAAACUACAGAGCUAGAGUGCGUUCGGGGUAGCAGGAAUUCCUGGUGUAGCGGA
RNAcentral lists this ribosomal RNA (606 nucleotides) under Nostoc carneum ISB92. Its description in RNAcentral is "bacterial SSU rRNA". It matches the Rfam family "Bacterial small subunit ribosomal RNA", at positions 34 to 682 of the family's 1533-position model. The record is from RNAcentral. Lineage: Bacteria; Bacillati; Cyanobacteriota; Cyanophyceae; Nostocales; Nostocaceae.